This 1786-nucleotide ribosomal RNA is filed under the name Salmonella enterica. RNAcentral's name for it is "partial 23S ribosomal RNA". It matches the Rfam family "Bacterial large subunit ribosomal RNA", at positions 1173 to 2925 of the family's 2925-position model. Lineage: Bacteria; Pseudomonadati; Pseudomonadota; Gammaproteobacteria; Enterobacterales; Enterobacteriaceae. The record is from RNAcentral.
CAACGGGGCUAAACCAUGCACCGAAGCUGCGGCAGCGACACUGUGUGUUGUUGGGUAGGGGAGCGUUCUGUAAGCCUGUGAAGGUGUGUCGUGAGGCAUGCUGGAGGUAUCAGAAGUGCGAAUGCUGACAUAAGUAACGAUAAAGCGGGUGAAAAGCCCGCUCGCCGGAAGACCAAGGGUUCCUGUCCAACGUUAAUCGGGGCAGGGUGAGUCGACCCCUAAGGCGAGGCCGAAAGGCGUAGUCGAUGGGAAACGGGUUAAUAUUCCCGUACUUGGUGUUACUGCGAAGGGGGGACGGAGAAGGCUAUGUUGGCCGGGCGACGGUUGUCCCGGUUUAAGCGUGUAGGUGUGUGUUCCAGGUAAAUCCGGUUCACUUUAACACUGAGGCGUGACGACGAGGCACUACGGUGCUGAAGCAACAAAUGCCCUGCUUCCAGGAAAAGCCUCUAAGCAUCAGGUAACAUCAAAUCGUACCCCAAACCGACACAGGUGGUCAGGUAGAGAAUACCAAGGCGCUUGAGAGAACUCGGGUGAAGGAACUAGGCAAAAUGGUGCCGUAACUUCGGGAGAAGGCACGCUGACACGUAGGUGAAGUGAUUUACUCAUGGAGCUGAAGUCAGUCGAAGAUACCAGCUGGCUGCAACUGUUUAUUAAAAACACAGCACUGUGCAAACACGAAAGUGGACGUAUACGGUGUGACGCCUGCCCGGUGCCGGAAGGUUAAUUGAUGGGGUCAGCGCAAGCGAAGCUCCUGAUCGAAGCCCCGGUAAACGGCGGCCGUAACUAUAACGGUCCUAAGGUAGCGAAAUUCCUUGUCGGGUAAGUUCCGACCUGCACGAAUGGCGUAAUGAUGGCCAGGCUGUCUCCACCCGAGACUCAGUGAAAUUGAACUCGCUGUGAAGAUGCAGUGUACCCGCGGCAAGACGGAAAGACCCCGUGAACCUUUACUAUAGCUUGACACUGAACAUUGAGCCUUGAUGUGUAGGAUAGGUGGGAGGCUUUGAAGCGUGGACGCCAGUCUGCAUGGAGCCGACCUUGAAAUACCACCCUUUAAUGUUUGAUGUUCUAACGUGGACCCGUGAUCCGGGUUGCGGACAGUGUCUGGUGGGUAGUUUGACUGGGGCGGUCUCCUCCUAAAGAGUAACGGAGGAGCACGAAGGUUGGCUAAUCCUGGUCGGACAUCAGGAGGUUAGUGCAAUGGCAUAAGCCAGCUUGACUGCGAGCGUGACGGCGCGAGCAGGUGCGAAAGCAGGUCAUAGUGAUCCGGUGGUUCUGAAUGGAAGGGCCAUCGCUCAACGGAUAAAAGGUACUCCGGGGAUAACAGGCUGAUACCGCCCAAGAGUUCAUAUCGACGGCGGUGUUUGGCACCUCGAUGUCGGCUCAUCACAUCCUGGGGCUGAAGUAGGUCCCAAGGGUAUGGCUGUUCGCCAUUUAAAGUGGUACGCGAGCUGGGUUUAGAACGUCGUGAGACAGUUCGGUCCCUAUCUGCCGUGGGCGCUGGAGAACUGAGGGGGGCUGCUCCUAGUACGAGAGGACCGGAGUGGACGCAUCACUGGUGUUCGGGUUGUCAUGCCAAUGGCACUGCCCGGUAGCUAAAUGCGGAAGAGAUAAGUGCUGAAAGCAUCUAAGCACGAAACUUGCCCCGAGAUGAGUUCUCCCUGAGACUUAGAGUCUCCUGAAGGAACGUUGAAGACGACGACGUUGAUAGGCCGGGUGUGUAAGCGCAGCGAUGCGUUGAGCUAACCGGUACUAAUGAACCGUGAGGCUUAACCUUACAACGCCGAAG